Molecule: ribosomal RNA, 347 nt
Filed under: Atheta tokiokai
Lineage: Eukaryota; Metazoa; Arthropoda; Insecta; Coleoptera; Staphylinidae
Description: partial 12S ribosomal RNA
Source: RNAcentral
AAAAAUGUAAAAAUAAAAAAUUAAAUUAUUAAUAGUUAUAAUCUUUAAAGUUAAAAAAUUUGGCGGUAUUUUAAUCUAUUCAGAGGAACCUGUCCUAUAAUUGAUAUUCCACGAUUAAAUUUACUUAUUUUAAUAAUUUAUAUAUCGUCGUAGUUGAAUAUUUUAGUAGAAGUUUAAUAUUCUAAAUUUUAUUAUAAAAAUAAAUCAGAUCAAGGUGUAGUUUAUAAAUAAGAAGAGAUGGGUUACAAUAAAUUUAUUUAUGGAUUGAUUAUUGAGAAUAUUCAUGAAAUUGGAUUUGAUUGUAAUUAAAUUUAUUUAAUUUUAAUGAUUUUAGCUCUAAAAUAUGC